CACUUGAAUCCGUAGGUGAACCUGCGGAAGGAUCAUUAAUGAACUUUGAACUGCUUGUGGCUCUCGGGCUGUUGCUGACGAAGGACCCUUCACGGGUUCUUCGUACGUGCACGUCUGGGGUUGCAGCUUUCUUCGUCCACCUGUGCACACUCUGUAGGUUUGGAUACCCCAUUGGAAGGGUGCGCUUUUUGGCGCUCCCUUUGCCUUCCAGGCCUAUGUCUUAUAAACACUAUAGUAUGUAACCGAAUGUCAUUGAUUAUUGGACUUCACUGUCCUUUAAACUAAAUACAACUUUCAACAACGGAUCUCUUGGCUCUCGCAUCGAUGAAGAACGCAGCGAAAUGCGAUAACUAAUGUGAAUUGCAGAAUUCAGUGAAUCAUCGAGUCUUUGAACGCACCUUGCGCCCUUUGGUACUCCGAAGGGCAUGCCUGUUUGAGUGUCAGUAACUUCUCAACCUUCCUCAACUUUGUUGUGAGCUGGCGGAUUGGACGUGGGGCCUUGCUGGACCCUUAUCUUUGGGUUCAGCUCCCCUGAAAUGCAUUAGCAGAAACCGUUACCUUUUGGCGCGCUGCAGCUGUGAUAAUUAUCUACGGCUAUGGCUGGGCUGACUGUGUUGUAGCGCUCGUUUCGUCUCUGAAGUGGUUUCGCCUUAGUUGGUGCUUCCCUUUGCCUUCUCUCUCACGAGAGAUACCUGUGACGCGAGUGCGCGGGCUUAUUCUGCUUCUAACCGUCCCCUUGUGGGACAACUAUUGACCAUUUGACCUCAAAUCAGGUAGGACUACCCGCUGAACUUAAGCAUAUCAAUUAAGCGGAGGAUUUCCG
This 823-nucleotide ribosomal RNA is filed under the name Flammulina velutipes. RNAcentral describes it as "eukaryotic LSU rRNA". The stretch from base 290 to 443 matches the Rfam family "5.8S ribosomal RNA". The record is from RNAcentral. Lineage: Eukaryota; Fungi; Basidiomycota; Agaricomycetes; Agaricales; Physalacriaceae.